AUACCAUGAUGUGGACAUUUUCGCAGUAGCUCUUUAAACCUCUCCCAAGCAUCAUAUAAUGAUUCUCCCUCAAAUUGACAGAAAUUAUUUAUUUCUCCUCUAAUCCGUGU
Humulus lupulus (European hop) is the source of this 110-nucleotide small nucleolar RNA. Lineage: Eukaryota; Viridiplantae; Streptophyta; Magnoliopsida; Rosales; Cannabaceae. The record is from RefSeq and is a predicted model, not a curated record.